CGACGAACUCCGCCUGAUCGUCGGAGAUCUCGACUCCGAUGCAGACACGGACACCGGAGUUUCCGCUCCAGUUCCAUCUUCGAUGUUAAUAACCUUGGCCGGCUCGACACUCCGGAGGAUAAUAGUGUCAUCAUCCUGUAAAUCAAGGGUGACUUCAACAAACUCUUCAGCAGGAUUGGAAUCGGCACCGGGAGAAGUUCCUGUGCUAAGCGUUGUCUUUCCGGGAAUUGUGUCGGAGGCCCAACGGCGCUCAUGUUUCGGCCCCCUCAUUGAAAUAUAUCCGAUAUAUGUAUGAGUUAUGUGUUUGAUAUAUAUAAGGUGGUAGUUGUUACUUGUUA
RNAcentral lists this unclassified non-coding RNA (338 nucleotides) under Hevea brasiliensis (rubber tree). The record is from RNAcentral. Lineage: Eukaryota; Viridiplantae; Streptophyta; Magnoliopsida; Malpighiales; Euphorbiaceae.